ACUGUCAAUAAUUAGUUACACUCACAGAUCUCCUAAUCAAAUAACAAUAUCAGAAAAAAUGAGAAUAGUUAGUUAGUUAGUGGAAGUAGCCAAAAUGGGCAAGUGGAUCUCAGUUCCUAUUACAUAAGGUACUAGGAAGUUUGUGAAAAUGAAAAUUUAUCACAGUGUAAUAUCACUUACUUACUUUAACAGUGAAGGAAAACAUUGUGAUGAAACCUGCACACCUAAAUGUUCUUAGGAUUUUCUUAGGUGUGUAAUCCACCAACCAGCACUAGGCCAGCGUGGUGGACUAAGGCCUAAAAACCCUCUCAAUGGUAGUGAAGGCCAGUGUCCAGCAAGGGGAUAUAUUAUAUGGGCUGAUGAUGAUGACUAGGAAGUUAAAUACUACUACUACUACUACGACAGUACACAUAUAAUCCUAUAUAUUUACAAACUAUACGUUUGUUGGAAAUUGCUAACAUUAUUUCAUAUUUCCAGAUGUCCAGCCACUUGAAAAUAGGUGUAGUAAUGACAAAGCUAUCCAAGUAGCUCCAGCACAGGAACACAAAGGCAAGGCAAGUGUGUAUUGCCACAUCACCCCUUAAUAUAUCUGAAGCAAGUAUAAGUAAACAAUCAGAACUAGCAAAAAAAAAACUGUUGUUCCUGAGGACAAAUUUGACAGUGAUGAGUCAAAUGCACCAGCAACAGAAGGAUCAACUGUUGACUAUGAGUUAUCUCUCUAUAUCUCCACUCCAUCAAAGACUUGUGCACUUCAGACUAUAGCUCUCAAGAAGACUAAAAAGUUGAAAAAAUGAAUGUGUUAACAACUUUAUCUAAAGUGAAAAAUAAACAACAUUUAUAUAUUGGUCUUCCACAAGAAUUAUGUUUCAUAAUAGGCUUGAUUGAGAAACAUACAAAUGUUUCUGAACAAAAUAUUAUAUUAUGUCUGAUGAGAAUAACAUUAAAUAGAACAUUCUCUCAAUUGGCUGAUGAUUUCGAUUUAUCUGUAAGUCAAGCAAGCAAUAUAUAUAUAAUAUAUUUUUCAACAAACUCCCAGAAAUUGCAAAUGUAAUAUCACCCCUUGUUAGACUAUAAAAAAAACAAUACAAUAAAUAUAUAUGCAGGAAGGAUAAUUGAUGUCAACUUGGUGGAAAAUAGAAAGUUUUUAGAUAGUUUGCCACCUACAAAACUCUUUAAUUAAAUAACAAAGUAAUCCUUACUUAUAAAUAGGAAGUUUUGUAAGUAUUUUCACUCUUCAUUCAAAAACUACUGAACAGAUUUUAAUAAGACUUUUAUGCUGGUCUUCUAUGGCUAGCAACUCAUUAUUAUUUUGAUUCUGUUUUCCACAAAUGUGCUAAAUAUGGGCUUAUAUAUAUGAAAAGGAAUAAAUAUUAAUGUUAUGUAACCUUUGUACCUGUAUGUUAAGAAUAAUUUUUAAUAAAACAUAAUUUAAAUUGAAAUAUUAUUUUUAUUAAAUGACAUUCACUUUGUACACAUCAAUAUUUUGUACUCCCUAAAAGGAAAAUAGGUAUAAAGUUUUUUUUAAAUAUUUAACAUUACAUUUUUGUGUAAGAUUAGAAAAUUGUUAUUCUUCCAAAAAGAAACUACAUUAUCUAACAACUGUGCAACUUACUCGGAAUCAAAAUCAAUACCUACUAAUUAUAGUGACCUGAUUAGUUUUUUCAAAGUUGCUGGAUGCUACACAAAAGUAGCAAGUUUUACUUUUAGCACAAUACAUAUGCAUUUGAACUUGUGCAUAAUAUCUUUCUUUAAUUUUUUUUUGCCUUUUUAUUUAUGGAAACAUAGCAUUACUCACUUGCUUGUUUGUAGAUCUAUCAAAAAAACAUAAUUUAUGUUUUUUUUAGCACAGUGGGCAAUACCCUAUUAUUCAUAUUAAUUAUAUACGGCGCGGCGAUGCGAAAAUUCAUUACUGAAUUAUUUAAGAAUGAUAGGCAUAAUAUAAUAUUUUAAUUCGCGAUCUGUUUAUAAUUUUUAAUAUAUGAUUUAAAAAUAAGUUAUCUUUAAUAUUUUUAAUUUUGUGAUUUAUGGGGUGGUCACAGUCAUUAUUAUAAAAAUAGAAAUUUUGAGGAAAUAUAAAUGUUUAAUACAAAUUAUUUUGAUAAUCGAAAUAAAUUCAUAUCAAUCCAAAUUCAUAUUUGAACUAUGAAAAUUGUAUGGUAUGUAAACAGAAAUAUAUUUUAUAAUUAUAAUGACUAUUUAUUCCAUGCAGUAUCGGUUACAGAAGCUUGCACAGCUUCUCUAACCGACACUGCAACUAGAAUAAAGUCUAAUUAAGAAUAAGAAUAAACUUUUCUUCGAAGCUCAAUUCUACAAGGGUAUUCAAUCAGAUAGCUAUCUAUCUGUCGUUCCUGUAUGAAAUUUUGGUAUGUCGAAAUCUUGGAUAAAUCCAGCAAAGCUAAAUAAAGUAUUUACCUAAAAAAUAUGUUUAUGCUUAGUCACGUGUUUAUGUUAUUCGAAAGUAUUAAGCUCCAAGCAGCAUUUAGCUCCAACUAAAUUCAUUAAGAACCAAUUUUUCAAUCGAUGAUUAAAACAACAUUAAUACUGAGAAUGAAUAUUUAUUUAUAAAAUACACAUAUGUUUUGACCACGAAUUUUGCACGAUAAUUUAAAUUAAUAUUCAUUAAUAUUAAUUUAAAUAAAUAUGAAUUAAUCUUCUUCUUCUAUAACCCAUAGUCAACAGUUGAUCCUUCUGUUGCUGGUGCAUUUGACUCAUCACUGUCAAAUUUGUAUAUAGGAGGAUGGAAAAAAUGUAUUUGGUCUAACUUUACGCGAAUGCACAUUAUUUUAUUUAUUUAUUUUUUAAUUUUUUUAAAUAAACUGUAUACCAAUUAAUCGAUCCUUCAGGAUUUAUAAUUGUUUUGUUUUUCACGAUUAAAACCGCGUAGAAAGUUUAGGCAUUAUAGUUGACGCAUGCGCCAUAGAUUAUAC
This is a long non-coding RNA of Bombyx mori (domestic silkworm), 2927 nucleotides long. RefSeq lists it as uncharacterized. NCBI's taxonomy places the organism in Eukaryota, Metazoa, Arthropoda, Insecta, Lepidoptera, Bombycidae. The record is from RefSeq and is a predicted model, not a curated record. The transcript is spliced from 2 exons.